Molecule: long non-coding RNA, 1144 nt
Organism: Panicum hallii
Lineage: Eukaryota; Viridiplantae; Streptophyta; Magnoliopsida; Poales; Poaceae
Exons: 4
Source: RefSeq, a predicted model, not a curated record
UAAAUAUUCGGGCCAGCAACUGUCAAGGUCGCCGCCUCGCCGGCGCCGCUAUCUCCGCCACCAUCGUCCCCAAUCGCUGCCUCAAGCUCCCCCUACUAUCCGCUUACGGCUCUUGCUCCUCCUAAUUUCCAAGCGCCCAUGUUGGCCUCUGGUCUCUGGGCAAUGGAGCCAGCAGACGACGAGGAUUCCGGCGAUUCGCUUUGGAGAGCGACCAAACUCCGACUAACCUGGGGGUCUUCUGGCGCCCCCCUGCUGUGGCCGUCGGCCCGACGGCGGCAACCCUUUCCCCCUUCCGCAGCUCGCGAAGACAGAUGAAGUGUGAUGGGGGUGGAGCAUCAGAGGGUGAUGCAAAUCGAGAUGGCCCAGUGGUCAGGCAAGCGGCUUUCAUCAGUUGCUCGACCACCACCCAUACUUCCCUGGCGAGUUCUGGCUGGCGUCCCCAGCUCAAGGUGAUGCAUCUAAGUCCAAGAUGUGCCAUCUGGUUGACCUGCGUAAAUGGCCAGUCCCCUGCGGAGGUGUCAAUGAUAGAAUGCAGGGUGACAUUGAAGGUUGGUGGUCGGUAAGUCAGGUUGUCUGUGGAGGUGGCUGAUGCCCAAGUCUCCCAGCUUGCUGACAAAGUUGGCAUCAAGGAGAAUGUUCCCCAGAUUUAGAUCACCGUGAACAAUUGGAUAAGGCUUGUAUGAGUGGAUGAAAGCCAAAGCUGAGCAUAUCUCCCCAAUGAUCCUCGUGCGCACCUUCCAUGUCAGAGGUGGCAUGUUUUUCUUGCGUGAAAGCCAGUCCUCGAGGGUACCAUUUGGGAGGAAUUCGUACACCAGCGCGAAAUCGUCCGGGCAUGCUCCUAUCAGUGUUAUGAGAUUAGGAUGCCUGACUCUACUAAGGACAGCAACCUGCAGGAGUGAUGCCCCAGGUCUUUAAUCUGUACGAGCACUCAACAUUUUGGUAAAGUACUACACUUUGUAUUAUGGACCAAUGCAGAAAAGGAAGAAGAAAACUUACCCUUUGAAGAUAUGAGAUCAGAUCUUUUUCAGCUUUUCUUCUUCUGUUAGUUUCUUCAGACGCAUCCUUUUCAAAAGAUUAGUCAGAUAUUUCUGAACAGUAUUUAACAAUACACUGAAUCUUAAUACAGACUGUCAAACUUACCACU